Molecule: transfer RNA, 72 nt
Filed under: Porphyromonas cangingivalis
Lineage: Bacteria; Pseudomonadati; Bacteroidota; Bacteroidia; Bacteroidales; Porphyromonadaceae
Description: tRNA-Gln(ctg)
Rfam family: tRNA
About the family: Transfer RNA (tRNA) molecules are approximately 80 nucleotides in length. Their secondary structure includes four short double-helical elements and three loops (D, anti-codon, and T loops). Further hydrogen bonds mediate the characteristic L-shaped molecular structure. tRNAs have two regions of fundamental functional importance: the anti-codon, which is responsible for specific mRNA codon recognition, and the 3' end, to which the tRNAs corresponding amino acid is attached (by aminoacyl-tRNA synthetases). tRNAs cope with the degeneracy of the genetic code in two manners: having more than one tRNA (with a specific anti-codon) for a particular amino acid; and 'wobble' base-pairing, i.e. permitting non-standard base-pairing at the 3rd anti-codon position.
Source: RNAcentral
UGUCUCGUGGUGUAACGGUAACACGAAAGAUUCUGGCUCUUUAAUUCGGGGUUCGAAUCCCUGCGAGACAAC